RNAcentral lists this ribosomal RNA (253 nucleotides) under uncultured bacterium. RNAcentral describes it as "partial 16S ribosomal RNA". It matches the Rfam family "Bacterial small subunit ribosomal RNA", at positions 524 to 776 of the family's 1533-position model. The record is from RNAcentral.
UACGUAGGGUGCGAGCGUUGUCCGGAAUUAUUGGGCGUAAAGGGCUCGUAGGCGGUUUGUCGCGUCGGGAGUGAAAACCCAGGGCUUAACCCUGGGCUGGCUUCCGAUACGGGCAGACUAGAGGUAUGCAGGGGAGAACGGAAUUCCUGGUGUAGCGGUGAAAUGCGCAGAUAUCAGGAGGAACACCGGUGGCGAAGGCGGCGACCUGGGUAGAUACUGACGCUGAGGUGCGAAAGCGUGGGGAGCAAACAGG